CCAGAGAACUUAGCAGAGAUGCUUUGGUGCCUUCGGGAACUCUGAGACAGGUGCUGCAUGGCUGUCGUCAGCUCGUGUUGUGAAAUGUUGGGUUAAGUCCCGCAACGAGCGCAACCCUUAUCCUUUGUUGCCAGCGGUCCGGCCGGGAACUCAAAGGAGACUGCCAGUGAUAAACUGGAGGAAGGUGGGGAUGACGUCAAGUCAUCAUGGCCCUUACGAGUAGGGCUACACACGUGCUACAAUGGCGCAUACAAAGAGAAGCGACCUCGCGAGAGCAAGCGGACCUCAUAAAGUGCGUCGUAGUCCGGAUUGGAGUCUGCAACUCGACUCCAUGAAGUCGGAAUCGCUAGUAAUCGUAGAUCAGAAUGCUACGGUGAAUACGUUCCCGGGCCUUGUACACACCGCCCGUCACACCAUGGGAGUGGGUUGCAAAAGAAGUAGGUAGCUUAACCUUCGGGAGGGCGCUUACCACUUUGUGAUUCAUGACUGGGGUGAAGUCGUAACAAGGUAGGCGUAGACGU
This 521-nucleotide ribosomal RNA is filed under the name uncultured bacterium. RNAcentral describes it as "bacterial SSU rRNA". It matches the Rfam family "Bacterial small subunit ribosomal RNA", at positions 988 to 1509 of the family's 1533-position model. The record is from RNAcentral.